Molecule: long non-coding RNA, 376 nt
Filed under: Elaeis guineensis (African oil palm)
Lineage: Eukaryota; Viridiplantae; Streptophyta; Magnoliopsida; Arecales; Arecaceae
Description: long non-coding RNA (EGUI_LNC037273)
Source: RNAcentral
ACGAAAAGAAGGAUGACACAUCCACAUGCUGGAAACCUGACUAUUGCGUCCCGGGUUUGAGAGUUUUUGAAUAUAAAAUCAUUCCUCUUUAGGGACGAUAUAAUCUUAUAACAAGCACAAAAAAACUUUGCGAUAUGUACUCACUUGUGUGACCUGUCCCGGUUCUCCUCCCCGAUGGCGUUGGAGGGUUAAAAUAUUCGAUGGCGCGAUGGCAUUGGAGGGUUAAAAUAUUCGAUGGCGUUUGUUAGGAAAUGAACUGCCGGCGAGAGAAGUAUUUUACGGAUCUUUGUCCGAUGCUAGGACUGUGCUCAUGUUUUUACGGACUGUGCUUUUGCUGAGGAAUGUUGGCAACCUCAAGUAAACUUCCGUGGAAAAG